UGGUGGGGUUUCAGGCCAGGCAUCCAUGGCAUAUCAGAGCUGGAUCUUAAUUUCUCAACAAAUCAUAGAACUCUUGUGUUGUGUCGAUUCAGACUGGACUUUCAUUCGAGUCUUCCAUUUUCACAUCAGUUUGUUUAUCAGGCUCCCCUGUGGGUUCAUUGUUUUUAUUAUCUUCUUCCUUUGUAUCAUCAGUGUGAAUAUCCAAAACUACGGGGUGAACUUCAGAGGCACCUAAUGUGGUAAGGACGACAUUGAUGCUUUUCAUUUGUUCAGCUGGUAGCUUCUUUUCCUCUAUGUUAACCUUUUCACUGUGUCUGUAAAUGGCGUAGAGAAGCAUCUGGAGCAUCCCCAAGAUGAAGCCUAGUACAUUAGGGAGCUGUCAAAUCAAAUCACAAACAACAACAAAAAAGAAUCAAUCUAUUUGUGGCUUCAAGUGAAAGUGAAGGGCGAAAUAAUAAAUAAAUGGUGUCCCACAAUAUUGAACUUACAGCUACACAGAGGUCCUUAAUAAAUAGUCCAUAAGCAAACCACAUUACUGCACUCAAUGUGAGGAAAAAUGAUAAGGUGAAAGGCAUGAACUCAACGCUCUUUGUUCGUAUAACUCGUGCCUGCAUGGAGAACAUAAUUAGAAAUUAAAGAAACUUAACUAGUUAAUUAAUCCGCAAUUAGAAAACGGGAUACUCACCAUAAUGUUUAAGGGUGCUGCAAAGACGGAUACAGAGAUGGCAACACAAAUCCAGCCAAGAACUUGGACGCGAAUCGAGCUUUUCAGCAGAAAGUGUGUGAGGAUGAGAAUGAAAGAGAAGAGCCCCAGGUUCAUUGAUAUAAAAAGUUUCAUAGCCGACAUCUGCCAAUUUCCAUACGUGAAUACCAUGUGAAUAAUUAUUUUAAUAUUUAAUAUAUAGAGAGAGAGAAGUACUCACCCUGCUAUUCUUUGAAGCAUAAGCCAAGAACAUAGAUAUAUAAAUAGUCUCAACAACACAUCCAAAAGCGUUGAUGGUGAUCAGAAGGAAAGCACCCUUUUUAAUCAACGCGUAAUACAGCCAUAGCAUGCAACUGAACAAUGCAACCUGGUAUGGCAGUGACUGGAAACUCUCAGUCGAUUUCUUUUUGUAAAUCCGACAGAAUGUUGGCCUGCAAUUAUUAUUCAUAUUAAUAAGAAAGGGUUAUUCACGUUAUUAUUCGUCACCCUUGAUAUAUAUCGGUCAUUUAAGAGCCAUUGAUGCUUACACUGGUGCCAGAAAUACGAGGACUGAGAUGAUGUUACCUGCAAUCAAUUGAAAACAACUUCAUUGGUUAUUUAUAAAGUUUUUUAAUUCACUGUUCAACUUUAAAAGAAAAUUAAAAAUCUUGUAAAGAAGCAUUCAUGCAUAUACAUAGGUACUGUAUGGUUGGGGGAGGUGGAUCAGUAUCAUUUAGGUGACAACACUAAAUUUUUGAAAGCGAAAUAAUUUAUUCUACUUUUUUGUUAAACAGAAAAACUACAAAUAACCAAACAUUAAUCAAUGUACUAUUAGGUAAUAAAAAUUGGAGCCACUUCUAACAAAGACACUUGUUUGAUAUAUGUACCAAACCAAAAUAAUGAAGAACCUAAACCAGACCCUAGCGUGUAAUAUGAAACUGAAAUAACUUGCAACACAAGGGAACCCUGAAACUGUCUCUGUAUGACCAUCACACCAAUAUGCAAAGAGUUAUGAAAUGAAAGAGAAGGAGGAAGAAAAAAGGAAGCUAGCUUGUGAGCAUCCUAGUAGUAUAUUACCUAAUAUACCAAAAACAACAGCCAGGGAAUGGUGAUCCGCCAAUACUGCCAUCUCUCUUGUGUUUUGUUUUUUUGAGAGGGAGAGAGGAACCCUAGCUGCUAUUUUCUCACACACACUCUCUAGCUUAGAGGCUUUUGCUCAUGAGGGGUUGAAAGGAAGGGGUGAGAGAGGGGGGAUUUAUAUACGAGGGGAGAAGGUGGAGGAUGGUAAAUUGGUGAUGUAAGCUUUAUUAUUCCUUUUUGUGUAUGCGCAUUUAACUCCUUUUUUAUUGUAUGACAAGUGCAAAUGCUUAGCACAAAAAUCAAAAUUUUUUUGAACCCCCUCUUAAUUUAUUUUUAACCAAAUUAACCCACGUGGCUCAUUAGUCGCAUCUCCAGUUUUCCAACCUAAUUGACUUCGUAUCUACAAAUCAUUUUCUGUAUUUUUCACUCCAGCAUUAAUGUUCCUUCUUAAUUCCAUGAAAUAUCUUCCUUCAAUGUACUUAAUAAAAAAAAUUUCAUUGAAACAUAAUGCGAUAAACAGUACAAUCAUAAAUUUGGGUUAAUGUAUAAUAUAAUAUCUUUAUUUUAAAAACAAGAUGUAGUGAUAAAUCCAUGCAAUUUUGGUCAAAUAUUGUAGAAUAAAAAAGAGAGAGAGAGAGACGUGUUUUUCACUUGGAAGUUAAAAUUUAAAAAUGUGAGAAAAGGGAAGACCCACGCGCCAAGAACAAGGGUGGUGGGGCAAAUUCAUUUACGUUACACACACAUACACCGCAAAGGUGUCUAUCCAAAAGCCUCAAUUCUCGUGAAGCUUUCAAAAACCGUUUCCCUCUCCCUUCUAUUUUGUUUCUUUGGCCACCCAUAUUUUAUUUGUUUUUUUCUUCAGCAUAAUAUCAGAUUUAGUCCUUAAUAUUCAUAUAUUUUUCUAAUUCAGUCCUUAUUUUUCUUAAAUUAGAUUUGACCCUCAAUUUUAAAAAGAAAAAAGAUUAAAUUUUUAAAUAUAACAACGUGUAUAAAUUUUUUAAACUUAAAAAGAGUAAAGAGUAGACACCCUAUUACGCGUCAGCCCUAAAAAUCCUCUCUGAAAAAAUAAAUUUUUUGUUUGAUUGAUUGCGUUGCAGUUGUGUUGAGAGCAGCAAAGUUUUCGUGUGGCAAAUGAGAAUCUUGACUUUUUUCUCCUUCAAGUCUUCUUUUUUAAUUUUGCCUUGCAGUUAUAUGAGGAAAAGGACAAAAAAGUACAUAUGAUCUCUGCCAACAAAUAAUACUAAUAAUGAAAUAAUUGGGGGACGAAUUAAUUUGUCAGGGAAUGCUAGGUGGGCAUAGCUCGGCUUGCUCUACGUUAACGUAUGUCUAUCAAACAAGCAUUCCCUUCUAAUUCUUCUUUCAUUCAUAUAUGAUUUUGGUUUGAUGCAUCACAAUGCUCUAUCACAUUCACCCAACUUGCAAAUCAUUUGGGGGUACCCCACUCCCCAUUGCCUUACCAAAUUACUCUCCUAUUCAUUUUGAUGACAAAAUCAACAUUUCUUUCUUUCUUUUUCUCCUUAUAAAUAUGGAAGGAGUAUAGGGAGUAGGAGCAUAAUUAAGCCUUUAUUUUUUUAGCCCUUGCUUGGCAUCACUCCCUUUUUUUUUCUUGUCUUUUUGGUUGUUGAGAUUGAAAAAGCAGUGGGAAUCAAAUGAAAUGAAUCGUAUUUUUGAGUGCUUAAUAUCAUCAUUAAAAUCUUUUAACUCCCUCAAAUGGACUUUCUAGCAAUGAAAUCGUUGGAAGUGAUUUAAAGCUACAACGCACCAUCGUUUUCAUUUGGCUAAUAAUCAUACUCAUGAUUAAUAUGGGAACAGAUACAACACUCCUCUCGCUCUUCAUCUCAAUCGUAAGGUUCAUGGCGGCCUGCCACCUGCUGGCUGACUAGCCACCUUAAUUUAGCAACCAAAUUAUUGCCAUUUUAAAAAAAAAAAAAAAAAAAACGAAGAAGAAAUUUGUGGAGAGUUCUAAAAAUUGAACGUAUAUGCAAAACGACUGGUAGAUAUUAAACGUGAGGUUUCUCCCAUUCAUAUUUAUCACCAAUAUCCAAAGUAAUUGCUUGAUAUCAGCUCAACACAAAGGACACGCCAUUUGCAUUAUUUAUUAAUUUGUUUUGGAUCUAGAAAUAGACAUUGACAUUCCCAUUCCUCCUAUAAUUGAACUAAGAGUGGGAGAUAUUAUCAUGUUAUUAUUGUAUAUGAAUGAUCUAACCAACUGGUGUUUGAAAGACCCAUUUUGGUGGAGGAUCAUGGCAUGGGGAACUUGUGGCUGCUUUGCCUUGGUUCACUAAGGUCGAGCCAGUUCAGCUUAUAAUUAUUGGCAUGGAGAUUAUGACAAGCACAUCAUAUUAUUGGCAUAUGUGGUGGGGUAACCCACCAUAAAGACGAUUCAAUUUUAGGAGCUCUGGUUAUCUUACAUCAAACUGGGGUCCUAAAUCAGGUGCUCUUUUCGUUUUAGUUUCUUCUUAUCUUCCUUCCUUCACCUUUCUUUUUGGAUUUGCUCUUUGCCUAAUUUUAAACUAAUUUGUUGCUAAUUAUUGUAGAUGUGCCCUUUCAAUUUUUCUUUUUUAAUAGAUUUUAUUGUUACUAGCUACAUAAAGUUAAGAUUACUAAAUCAAUUUUAAGUACAACUAACCCUUAUGCUAUUAUUAUUUUAUUUCUGAAAAGCAAACCUAAUAAUGUAAAGUUAAUAUUUGCAAUUUUGCAUGUGUUCAUUCAAUCUUAUAUUUUUAUUUCAUGUGAUUAAUUUAAAGUAAUAUUAUUAAAAAUGAUUUGAACAUAUUAACUAUUUUUAAAUUACAACAAUAAAAAAACUUCAAACCGUAAUUGAAUCUCAAUCAAAAUAAUACAAUCAACACGAUCUCUGUAAUAGUUAAAUUUGUUGUAGAGUCAGUUUUUUGUGUUAUUUUUACAAUCCAUGAUAGCUUGGAGACGACAUGGUUGGGGAACCCUGAACAAGACCAUAAAAUAGACAUGAAAAAUAUUAAAAAAUAUAUAGUUCUAUUCCUAAGUGAAAAAAAAAUAGUUCAGAUAUUAUUUCAAUAAAACAUUUAAAUUUUAUAUAAAAAAUCUAUUAGUCAUAUUUUAUUAAAUGAAUUACAUUUGUAAAUUUUAUUAAAAAUAUGAAUUAAACUCACUAAUUAAUAUUAUUAGUAUUGUUAAAAAAUAAAGAGACAUGGAGAGAAUAAAGAACAAAGAAGAUAUGAAAGGGAUAGAGAAGGUACUUUAUUGAUCAAAAGGGGUGAUUACAAUACUUCAUCAGAGUCUCUGUUUAUAGGCAUAAGAAGUACAAAAGAAGUAGAGAUCUAAUUCUAAUAACCAUUAGGAUUUAAAGUACAUUAAAACUUUAUCUUGAUCAUGAUGGACAUCAACUUAAUAAGAUAUUCAUAACAUUCCCCCUUAGAUGCCCAUUCGUAAAUAAUGUGCCUCAUCAAAACCUUAUUAGGAAAAACCCUAUGGGAUAAAAACUUAAUGAAGGAAAAAGAGUACACAAUCUAUAAUACGCAAAAUAUGCAGCCUCAUUAAAAACCUUACCAGGAAAACUCAAUGGGACAAAACCUCGAUUAAGGGAAAAAGAUCGUGCAACACAUAUUUACUUCCCCUCAUGAAAGCAUCACAUAUUUUCUCAUAUUCUACAUAUUCAAGCUUGAAUACUAGUUUUUCAAAUUACUAUUUGAAUAUAUUUACUAAGCAUUUAUAUUGUCAUUCUUUUAAAAGUCAUGAGUGAGAGAAAUUUGGGGAAAUAUAUUUUGAUCUCUCCAAGAGAUUCAACAAUAAUCAUAAUAAACUUUAAUCAUGAUUCUUUUAUAAAAACACAAAUAUAUAUUUUGGAUAAUUUUAUAAUCCUCCUUCAACUACUAUUCACUAAGUCAAAUUUACCUCAUAUGUUCAAAUUAUUUCAAUUCAUAUAAAUGAACAAUUUCUCGAGAAUUUCAAUAUGUUUCUAGCAUCCUAAAUCCUUCAAUGAUUUUAAUAUAAACUUUACUGUAUAGUGAUUCAUAAAAGGUUGUAACAAUAAUCAUUAGACGCAACUUAAAUCUUUUAUAAAUUGUCAAUUUAAUAAUAUAUCUAAAGGUUAUUGCAUCCACCACAACAGAAUAUUAUAUCUUUUCAUAAUUAAUGGCAGGACUUAGCGAAAUACUUAUUUUUAUUUCACUUUUGCAAAACUACUUCAAUUGCACCUUCACUGGCUUUAUACAUUUAGAUAUUUUGACUAUUGGUCCAAAAACUCUACGAAUUUAAUUGCACUUGAGUUGCGUCUUUCUAUUUUGAUCAAUUUAUUCCUUAUAUAUAUUUCUCAAUAGAUUUAUUCAAGAUCCUCAUUUUAUUUCAUUAUUUCAAUAAUAAUAUUGCAUGAAAAAUCAUUGUCGACCACUUUUAUUAUUCGGUUUCAUAUUUUCUUGAAUUGACAUAACUUAUCAAGAUCUCUUAUUUUAACUAUUUUAAUCUUCAGUUUCAGGUACCUGAAUCUCUUCUGGAGUUUUACUUAUUAGUUAUGUCUUGAGUCUCUUCUGGAGAACCCACCUAUAUGACCAUCUAGAAGAAUUUUCAUCUUCGGAACCGAUCAAUCUAUUAUUUAUUCUAACUAAUUGUCCUACUGAGACUUUUGAUUCAAAUUAAAAUAUUAACUUGGUUAUUCUCAUUAAUUUUGUAAAUACAUCUGAUAGUUAACUUGUAAUGAGUUAUCUUUAUUGAACUUCUGGUUCAAAUUACUCUCCCCCUAACUCAUUACAAGUUAUUAUUUCUCUUCCCCUAAUGUUGAGAAAACUAUCGUAUCAAAAUUGUAAUAACAAACUCAAUAAAAGAUUGAGAUAUAAAAUCAUUAGUAUUAGCAAGAUGAGUUGUCUUAAUUGCAUGAUCUGAAAUUAAUUAUUUAAAUAAGCAAUCUUACAAACGACAGGUUACAAAUUGAUAACAUAUAUGUGAUUAUUUUGUAGAUGCAUAUACCAAAAUCAUAUAAUAUCAAAACCAUCCACAUGGUGGAUGAAUGGACCCAUAUUCGUUUAAAAAAUGCAAGACAUUAAAUCUCAACUUUAGCUAGUGAGUUUCUAAUAAUCAAUUUUCAUUGAGAACAAACAACAUAUGAGAAUUCUUUUAAAUUAAAGAAUCUUUUUGGUUCUUUAAUGAAUGUUAAUAUGAAUUCUUAAUUAAUUUUCGCAUCAUAUAUGAUCUAGGAUGGUCUAACUGGUCACGCUAAGUAGUAAAUGCAUUUGUAUCAAUAAACUUCUAGUUUACUUUAACAUGUGUUUCAAUUGUACUAAAUUGUAACAAAUUAAUAAUUUUACUAUCAUUCUUUCACUUUGUAUCCACAUAUAAGUGCUAUUGUGACAUUUACUACUGGAAAUGUCUAAAUCAAUGUGAAUAUUAUAAUGUCACUAAGUCAACAAAAUAAAUAUAAUUUCCAAACAAUUAUAUACAAUACUAGCGUCAGGGAAUAUGCCAAAAUCUUCAAAUAUCUAAAAAAAAUUGUAACUUCAGGUGCAUUCAAUAAUAACGAGGUUUAGAUAGAAUUAUCAUAUUUUAUUGCUCAUAAAUAGAUCUUUCAUAGUCAAAUAUUUUGCUUCCAACCCCUUAAUAGGGAUGAUGACAAAAGAAUAUCACAAAGAUUAUAAAAUAAAUAUAAAUUAAUAACUCAGUCCUCUCUUUUUCAUCCUUUCAAAAUAGAUAUUAUAGCAAUAGUGGUUCAUAUGAAAUAUAAUAUUUUCCUAAUCCACAAUCUCAAUAUAAGAUCCAUUAUAAAUAUCUUUUAAAACUAAUGGAUUAACCAUCACAAGAUAUUAAUAUAUUAGAUUUUUUUAGAGCUUUCGACUAAUUUUGUACUACCAAAUAUUGGAAUAAUAUUGGUUUUUAUUUUCUUUUAUGCUUGCGUUCACUUCGGGGAAUGCAAUAGAUGUACUAGGACGAACUUAUAAAUGUCUCAAUAGAUUCUUUAUUUCAUAAUUACCAUCGCAAUCAUGCAUGGAUUUCAAAUCAAAAUCUAUCUAUUCAUGUUGUCAUGACUAGUCUCCAAUUAUAAUAAACAUGAUAUAAUAAAUAAAUCAUAGUAAAAUAUACCUGAAGAUUUGAGUAGUUAAAGGCUAUAUGAUUACCCAUUGUGCGCAGGCCUCAAUUGAAGAUUGAAAUUGCAAUAGCUAGCUCUAGAAGGCAAUCAACAACAACUUGAGCAACAGAUUUGGAGUGCCCGUACUAUAAAAUAAAAGAGAAUCGUGCUGAUAACGUGUUAUAAAAUAAAGAGAGAUGGAGAGAAUAAAGAACAAAGAAAAUAUGAAAGCAAUAGAGAAUGUACUUCAUUGAUUUAAAGGGGUGAUUACAAUACUUCAUCAACGUCUCUAUUUAUAGGCAUAAGAAGUAUAAAAGAAGUAGGGAUCUAAUUCUAAUAACCAUUAGAAUUUAAAGUACAUUAAAACUUUAUCUUGAUCAUGAUGGACAUCCACUUAAUAAAAUAUUCAUAACAAAUAUUAAUAUAUUAUAGUUUUUAAAUUUGAAAUUUUUUUAAAAAAAUUAAUACAAUCUAAAUCUCAAAUAUUAUUAUAGUUAUAUAGCAAUCACCUCUCUAUGAUAAGGAAUAAAAAUAAAACUAUUAUAAAGAGGGUUAACUAUAAUGAAAUUCGAACAUUUUAAAUUUUCUAGCUACUAAUUAAAUAAAAAUAUCUAAAUGUUGAAUGCUGAUAAAUUUAUUUUAUAGUGGUUGGUUUUAGUUUUAUACCAUUGAGAUAAAAGUGCAACUCCAAUUUGAAUAAUUUAAAUAAUUGUGAAAGAGUUAUAAUAUAAAGAGAAUUUUGGCCUUAAUAAAAUAUUUUUAUAAUGCUCAAAUUUUAAUAAUAUAAAGUAUUAUUCUAAUGAUAAUAUAGAAGUGAAUUUUGUGGAAGGGGUUUUUUUUAUUAGUUUAAAAGUUUGCUCAAACUUUAGCUUUUAUUUUACAUGUUUUGUAUGUAAUUUUACAUAUUUAAUUUUUGGCUUAAGGUCCAAGAAGUUUUUGAACUUUUCCAAAUAAAUCAAUAAACCUCUUUGAAAAAAAAAACACCUAAUUAAGCCCUUAGACAUUAAAAAUGCAUCGAUUAAGCCUCUGACGGUUUCCAUCACUGCUUGUUACUAUGCUAAUAUGAUUGUUAACAAUCGUUGAAUCAGUCAUCAAGGUGAUGGUGUGACAUUCCACAUCAUGAACAGUGUUACUAACGAGGUAGUGUCAUGUUAACAAAAAAAAUGAAAAGAAUUAUAAAAAUUAUAAAAAUAUUAAAAGAAUUCAAAUCUAGAAUAAAUUUGAACACACGACCACGCCAAUUUGUUUAGCUUCAUUCUAAAUGGUUGACUCAAUAGUCAUUAACAACCACGUCAACAGAGUAAUAAUCAAUACCAGAGAUUAUUAGCCAAAGGGCUUAAUUGAUACUUUUUUAACAUUUAAGUGCUUAGUUAGAUGCAUUUUAAAUGAAGAAACUAGAUUGAUUUUUUUUAGAAAAAAAAAACCCUUAAGCCUUUUUCUUAAUUCAUUAAAUGUUGUAUUAUAGGAAUAAUCUAAAGCAACAUUAUUAAAAAAUAUUAUCUAUUUUAAAUUACAACUAUAAAAAACUUUAAAACGUAACUUAAAUAUGAAUAAAAAUAUGAAUGAAAUUCAAUUUUUUUUCAAAAAAUAGUUAUUAAAUAAGUUCGCCUAAAGGUGAUAACAAUUAACAACCUAUUGAAGUGACAUCACCUAGAUAUAAAAUUGUCCAAAGAAUUUAUAUUUGAAUUCAAAUUGGACGGUCUAUAAAAGCAUUCAUGAAAGAGAGAAAUAAAAAAUCAGCAUUUGUGAACAGCUUGGGGGAACAUGGGAGGAAAGCAAACAAAAGCUUUGGUCCCAACAUAAUGCUUUUUUUUCACUUUUUAUCUUUUGCUUGGUUGUGCCUCUGGUUUCGUAAGAAAUUGAAACGUUUUAGGGGAGGUAAGCAUGAUCACUUUGUGUUUAAUUAUUAUUAUAUAAAUAAAAGAGUGAAGGAAAAUUUUAAUCAGAAAUCAUGACUAAAUUGAGAGGAAUUCUCCACAGUUUGAACUCUGGAGGCCUUUUCAAUUUAGUCCAUAUUGGUUAAAUGCGUGUUUGACCCUUUGCAUGUAUUAUGAACGUGGAUUAAAAGUUGGUACCAAUAAAGAAAAGUAUUGACAUGAGCAGUGUUUGUCCAUGCAUCAACUUUUUCUUUUUUUCAUUAAACCAAUCAUAUACUUCUAAAGUUGUUUCUUUUCAAUGAGGUUUUUUUUUUUUAAUAAAAAAUCAAUUUGGUCCAAGAAAAUCUUAAUUUACUAUUUCAUCCUUACUCUUAGCCAUGUUUAAGGGUUAAGUUAUCUAUCUAAAUUCAAAGGUUUGCAUGAUAUUUGGAGGAUCAGAAUAAAAAUAUUAAGUUUGAAAAUUAAAUUUUGAAAAAAAAAUAUUAGGCCUAUUUAAAAAUUGAUUUGGCUCUAUGUCCGUUUGAUGGUCCAUGUUUAGAGUUUGUGAUUGCCUCUCCCAACAAUGUCAUCUCCAAGGUCCGAAUCUUCGUUUUCUCACUGGGAGUGCAAUGUGUCAUACCACUGCUCUCAACACUUAUUGGUAUGUUUUGAAGUUCAUAAUAUGUUGUUUUUUUUUUAUGUAUUAUUUAAUUUAUAUCAUAUGAAAACUAUAUAUAUUAUGGGUAAACUACACCCAAAGUCACUAAACUAUUCAAAAAUUUUCAUUUAAGUUAUUGAACUAUCUGCAAGUUUUUAUUUAAGUCACCGAGCUAUUAAGUUUUUUAUUUCAAAAUCCAGCCAGCUAGCUCCAAGAGACGAUUCGAUGCUUGAUAUGGUGGAUAAGUACCCAUCGACAAGUAGAAGAACAUACAUCAAAUCCAAGUUAAUAUGACGAUCAGUGUUAAAGGUCAAAGAAAAAAGUUGUUUGGAUUUUGGUUCAUAGAUUCAUGAUAUUCAAAGUUGUUUCAUGAAAAACAAACGAUCUCUAAAAGAAAAGGGGAAGAAGAACUUUCUAUUGGUGUAGGGGGUGCGAAUAGAAAAUGUCAUACAGUAAAUCAACCAGAUGACUUAAAUAAAAACUUUUAAAUAGUUAAGUGACCAUUUUUGUAACUUUUUGAAGUUGAGUGAUAAAAAUAUAAACUUACUAAUAAUUUAGUAACAUUGGGUGUAGUUUAUCCAUAUAUUAUACUAUAAUGUAAAUAUUAAAAAAAGUAUAAAUUGUUUAUAUUUAGAAAUUUAAUGAAAGAAGAAUAUAUAAUAAUAGUAGGAGGGAUGUAUAUCUAUAUAUAUAUAUUUGCUAAAUAUCAAAUAAAGAUAAUAUAUUUAAAAAAAUAAAAAUAAUUAAAUAAAUCCAAAUGGGUGCAUAUUAAUUAUUUACAAAUAUAACAAAAUUGAGUAAAAUUUCAUUUCGAGUUACGUUAAACCUAAACAACUAUGUAAUUUUAAAAGAAUUUUGUUAUAUAUGAUCCUAUUUGAAAGAAAACCAAAUUAUUAACCUAAUUUUUUCAAACAUUAAUGUCAUUAUAGGUUAUUACUUCUUAUCACAUAUAUUCUUUUUUAUACAAUGCCUAGAACUACUCAUAAUUCUUUCUCAAUCCUUAAAUAGGAGGAUAAUGUGUUUCAACGCACUUAAACUCAUAUCAUUUUAUACGGAUAAUAACAUCGAUAUCAAUCGAAUACUACCCCAAACUUUUAGCACCAAUGAUUGAAAGAAAAGCGGAAAGUAAUAACAACAUACCAUCACUAUAUUUUAUUGACAUAAAAAUAACAUAUGAAAAUUUAAUUAGAAACACGUGGCUCUUUAAAUAAUAAAUUAUUAUGAAAGAAAGAGGGAAUUGUGGUCAAAGUAAACUCCUAAAGCAAGAAACUUAAGAAACAAAUGUAGGAAAUAUUUUUAAUGUGAGAUUCGCAUGUGAGAACAUUAAGGGGAAUGAAUCGUAAUUUGAUCAAAACACUUCACAAUUCACUUAAUCUAUCAUUUUUUUUUAUGUCCGUUGUUUUAGACCAUUCGGAGCUAGUUUUCUUAUCAUAUUAAAUGUUUAUAAUCACUCUGAAUAUGUUAUGCUUGAGUUGUAACAGAGCCAAUUGAUAACGUAUCAUAAUAUUCUAUUAAUACUGAACCUAAAGCUUUUAUUGUGUUAAUAAAACUCGUCCCUCAAUAUAUACGAGUAUUUAUUUUUUUUCCUCAAUUAUAUAAUCUCAUUUAUUUAAUUUAUUUUAAAAAAAGAAUUAUUAUCCCAUAAUUUCUUUUUAACAUAUCACCAUUUGUCAAUUGUCUAAAUCAUGAUAUACGCAUAAUUACCACUUUUGGUACCAUAUACACAUGACAUGACUAAUCAAUAAAUGCAUAAGAGUGAGAAAAUUUCUUCCAAAUUCAAUACUAAAAUUAUAUUUGUCAAAUUAACUCAAUUUUGGGUUUUUUAUCAAAAUAAUACAAAAAAAAGAGGCUGAUGGAGGAGAAUAAAAAGGCAGCACCAAUGGUGCCUUUUCCAUAGGCAACACCAAUGGUGCCUUUUCCAUAGGCGGCACAGGACUAAAAUGUAAUGAUCUAAAGUUUCAAGGACCUAAUGUGCAAAUUUACCAUUUUAAAUUUUGAAAGUGAAUUGGUGCCGCCUGGGUGUGGCGGCACUAAAGUUGAAAUGUGACUAAUUGUCUUCUAAGCCCUCCUUAUUUAUUAUUUUCUUUUUAUUCCCCUUCAACUCACUUUUUUAUUUAAUAAACAUGCCUUCAACCUAUUUUUGUAGUUAAAUAAGCUCUUAAUCUAUGAUUUUUAUUCAUAAAAACCCUUUAUUUUAUUAAUAAAGUAAAUAUAUUUUACCUAAAGUAAAGCUAUUUAAAAAAGUAUAAACUAAUUCGCAUUUUAUGUUUAUGUGAAUUUGAUGAGAAUAGUUUAUUAAAUAAAAAAAUUUAUGUUUAUCAAAGGCUUAUAGAUAUAAUAGUCCCUUAAGAAAAAACCAAAAACAGUUACUAAGCCCCUUGACUUAAUUUGAACCCAGUCGAGCCCUUAUCAUUAGCCUGAAAAAUUAAUUAAGCUCUUACAUUAAUAAUUUUCACAUUUCAUUACAUUAACCAUUAAAAUCAAUUAACGGACCAAUUAGAUGAUGAAAUAUGACAGGUUGUGAUUAAAUCUUUCAUAUCUCCGAUAAAAAUCAUAAAAAUAUCUAUCUAUAAUAUAUAUAAAAGCACAAGUCUUGAAAAACUUUUGAACUGAUAAAAAUAUCCUUUAUUGUUAAUUAUAUUACUAAACUAUCCUUUAUUGUUAAUUAUAUUACUAAACUACAUUAGAAUAAUAAUUUAUUAAUAUUAUUAUAUAAUAAUAAAAAGUAAGAUUAAUUAAAAUAAUAAUAUAUUAAUGUGAAAUUAAUUAAUUUGGUCAUAUAUUAUAAAAGCUCUACUUAAAAAAACAUAAUAUAUUAUUAAUUAAUAAAACUAUAAAUCUAUAAAAUCAUUGACUAUAAUUGGAUGAAUUUAAAAUAAUAAGAAUUCAAGUUUUUUAAUUAAAUAAAAAUGUUUUUUAUAUAUAAAUACUCUUUAUAAAUUUAAAAAUAAUUAUAAUUUAAUAGAAGUUGUGAGAAUUAUAUAUUUCAAAAUAAUUAUAAUUUAAACUGCAAUUAUUAUUAAAAAUAUUGUGCUAAUUUUAAAAUAGAAUUGUUAUUUAAAUAGAACUCUAAGCAUAAAAUAUAGGAAAAAGACAAAAAAAUUUGUGAUAAUUAUAAUUAUAAUUUAUUGUUAUUAGUUAAAAAAUUUGAAAGCUACUUUUAUUAAAGUAAAGUAGAGUUAUUACUUAAUUAGAAUUCUAAGUAUCUUAAUUAUCACUUAACUAAUAUUAGAUUUAAUUAAAAAAAUUAAUAGAAAUAUCAGGCAUGUUUUAUUGAAAAACCAAAAAUAAUAAUAAAACUGAUCACCCAUAAAUGUAACCCAAAUAGAAAAAAUAAAUUAUAAUUAUAAACUAUUCUCAUCAAAUUUAGUAAAUUUUUUAUUUAAUAAAUUAUUCUCAUCAAAUUCACAUAAACAUAAAAUAUAUUUACUUUAAUAAUAAAAUAAAGGGCUUUUAUGAGUAAAAAUCAUAGAUUAAGAGCAUAUUUAACUACAAAAAUAGGUUGAGGGCUUGUUUAUUAAAUAAAAAAGUAAGUUGAAGGGGAAUAAAAAGAAAAUAAUAAAUAAGGAGGGCUUAGAAGGCAAUUAGCCACAUUUUAACUUUAGUGUCGCCACACCACAGGCGGCACCCAUUCACUUUCAAAAUUCAAAAUGGUAAAUUUGCACAUCAAGUCCUUAAAACUUUAGAUCAUUACAUUUUAAUCAUGUGCCGCCUAUGAGAAAGGCACCAUUGGUGCCGCCUAUGGGAAAUGCACCAUUGGUGCCGCCUUUUUAUUAUUUUGGUAAAUAAAAAAAUUUUAUAAUAUUUUAGUAUUUUUAUAUUUUUUUUGUAAUAUUUUGGCAAAAAAACCCCUCAAUUUUUCAAACCAAAACGACAAAACCUAAAAGUUGUAGUGUAAUUAAUUUAGGCGGCAAGUUAUAAAUUUAUCCCUCUUUUAUAUUAACUAUUAAAAUUAUUUAAAAUUUAUAUAUUAUAUAUAUAUAUCACAAUAUUAACAAUGGAUUAUCACAAAUUAUUUUAUUAUACUUGCACUAUAAUUUAAGUUGAAUAUUUGUGAAUACCAAAAUAAUAAUAACUUGACAUUGUGUUAAUAAUAACACAUGAAAAUAAGGAUAUUUUGCAUUUGAAUCAAAUAUUAUUUUUAUUAUACUUUAAAUUUAUAUAUAUCAUUUAUCACAAUACUAAUGAAUUUGAGUUUAAAUAUUUCAUAUAUCAUAAUAUUAAUGAAUUUAAAUACAUAUUUUUUACUUUACAAUAUCAUGUUUAAAAUGGAUAUUUUAUUUUCUUAAAAAUAUUUUUUAACAGUAACAAUAAACAUUGUCAAACUUUUCAACCUCAAUAAUUGACGGACCUUUUGUAAAACAGUGUAAUAAUUAAAUAGUUUUUUUUUUGAACUAUGUAUAUUCUAUCGAUUUAUAUUUUUUUAUACAAUAUUUAAAUUACCCAUAAUUUCACUCUAACUUUUAAACUGAAUAAAAACGCAUUUUAGUAUGUUCAAACUAACCUCCUUUUACAUUUACAAUAAUAUCAAUACUAAUUAAUUUAAUACUCAAUCAACAAAUAAUAUAUUAUUUUUAGUUUUACUUGAAAUUAAGAUUCGAUUUAUUAAUGGGGUAUUGAUAUUUUGUGAACAAUUUUCAGCACACUUGGUGGGCAGUCCCAUGUGCAUAUUAAAUCAUAUAGAUCUUAACAACCAAGGCUUAUUUGGCGAUAAUAUAUAAUUAAAAUUUUAACUUCUGCCUGAGCAAUCAAUGGAUAGUGAAACGAUUUGGAAGAAUAUAAAUCACAAGUGCACAAAAAAAAUAUCAACUAUAACUAAAUUUUAUCAAAUUAUUUUAAAUAAGCUUCGGAUCAUAUCUGUACUUUUUGACAUGAUGUCUAGAAUUAUUCACGGCAUUUCAUUAACUUAUAAAUAGAAGAACAAUACACUUCAACAUACUUGAACCUGUAUAUUCUUACAUUGACAACAAUACUCAUAUUAAUCGAACUAAACUUGAGUGUGAUUAGGAGAACUUUGAUAGUAUUUCAUUUUCAAAUUUGUUACUCUUAGAAGUUAGAACUUAAAAAUAAUUUAAUUUCAUUCAUGACGGUCAACUACUAUUUAAUAUUGAAUCGAAUAUGUCACAUCAAUCCCAUAUGAAAUUCGAAAGAAGAACACAUAAAAAGGGAAUCCGCCACUUAGUCACAAGAACCAUUCAGAUAGACUUCCACAUGAUCUUAAUAAGAUGAAAACUUUUUGUCUAAAUUUUCCUUUAAAUAAAUGACGGUGCAAUUUAACCGAAAAACUUAGAGAAGGAGAAUUAGGGUUCAUUAAUUGGUCCGGUAGUUGUAAUUUCGUUUGUUUGCCUCAAAGGGUUGAUGGUUUUGGGUAUGAUAGCACAUGAAUUCCCAUUUGUUUUGUCAUAGUUUUACUUCAAAUAAUACACGUUGAAGAAAUAAAUACUAUGGAGGAGGGGUUGGCCAUCGAUCCUCAUUUUACUCAAAGGGUUUUAUUCUUGGAGGAUUGUAAUUAAAUGUAGGGUUAAAUGUGUGAAAAAAUCCAACCAAAUCAUGGAAGGAUACAUAUUCAAAGAUGUUAAUGAAAGGGAGGGGGGGAGGGGGUUUGCCAAAAAUGAUAGAGGAGGUGAAGAGAGUAGGGACAGUGGGAGCUUGCACCUAAAAUGUGUAGAUGCACCAAAUGAAAUGGUUACGUGCUGGCAGUGGUUUCUUUCAAUCGGCUCUCAAUUUCUGCAAAUGCCAAAAUGCAUAUAUUUCCUCCCUCCACACAUCAUUCUCUCUUUGGUUUCAAAGUUGGAAGUUUAGCCAUUUACAAACCUUAUUUAUUCAUGGUGGAAUUGAGGAAACCUUGUGUGAAUUGGAAGCCUUUCGAUUUCAGUUUCAAUCACCCCCUCCUUUCUAUCUCUUGCACCUUCCUGCUAGCUUUUCACCCCUACUUUUACAGAAAGAAGUAACAACAUAAAUAGCUAGUCAACUAUAACUAAUAUCGAUUUUAGUAUUCAAUAUUUCAUUCCGCCUAUCCAAAUGGUACAUGUUACUAACAACGUUAAGUAAAAUAUGAUCUGACAUACUUCAUAUAAAAGAAUAAAAUGAUAUUAAAACAUAAAAGGGGCGUGACAUUAUUGGCAAAGACUGAGGUCCUAGAUUUUGAAAGUCUAAGUUUGAGUCUCACUAUCUGCAAUCACGAUGUAUGCAACUCCCUCUCUCACCAUGUGCAUAUAUGUGGCUUUUGUCUAGUGCUUCCUUCGCUCUGCAUUGUAUUGGUUAGAUUCCACAUUUUACUUGGCCGAACAAAUAUUUAUACUUUAAUUUGUGCAUAUUAAUUGUAUUAUCUUUAUAUUAGUGAAACUCUAAAAAAAAGUGACAUAUGACAUCAUAAUAUAAUGUCACCUAUUUGAAAUAAAAUUAAUUAUUUUAAAUUUAAAUUUUUUUUUUGGAGAAUAAAAUAUAUUUCCUUAUCUUUCUUAUGCAAUAUUUUUCCUUCUCUUUAUAUCUUUUUCUUCUUUUUUUUUCAAAUGCUUUCUUUUACUUUUGACAAUUUAAAAAAAAAUAAAAUUUAGUUAUUUGAAAUAAUUUUAAAUUUAUUUUAGUUUUGUAUUAUAGUUUAUAAAUUUUAAAAUGUUUUUGCCUAAAUAUUUAAAUCAGAACAUAUCAAUUAUCUUAAAUUUUAAAAUUUUAUAUUCAAAAUACAUUUUCAUUUGUUUUAUUCCAAACUUAAUAUAAAUUCAAAUUUUACUAUUUAUUUAAAAAAUAAAGCUAUUGUUCGCUUUGGCAUGCGAUAUCAACAACCCGUUUGUCAGUUUUAUUUUUCAAAAUUAAAAUAAUAAUUUUUUGGCAUAAUCAUUUUUUUUAUCCUUCAACUUACUAAAAAUUUUAUUUUAGUCUUUAUUUAAUUUUUUGCUUCUUUUCGUUCUCAAACUUACAUUUUUUGUCAAAUCAUCUCAAAAUGGAUGUAAAAGUUGUUUGUUAACUUUGCUGACAAUGGCAUUCGCAUGGAUUGCUACGUAAAUGACACGUUAGUAUUUAAUUAAUUUUAAUAAUUUUUAAUUUUAAAAAUAGUUUUUAAUAUUUUUUUUGAAUUUUUAAGUUUUAAAAAUAUGAUUAAACAUUGAUGUGUUUUCCAUGUGGCAAACCACAUGUAUGCAACGUCAACAAAGUUAAAAAACGGUAAUUUUAUUUAUUUAUUUUGAGGUGAUUUGGUAAAAAAAUACAAGUUUAAAGACUACAAAAAAUGAAAAAUUAAAUAAAAGAUAAAAAAAAAGUUUAUAAAAGUGAAAGGCUAAAUAAAUCAUUAUGUCCUAUUUUUAUGAACGUGAUAUCAUUUUGAACCAUACAUUGGUUAACCUUUUGUCAUUGCUUUUAGAACAUUAUGACUUAUUGUUCAACUAUUUAAGUUUAAAUUUGAAUUUGGAUUUAGAUUUAGAUACUUAAAUUUUAUAUUUGGAAUUUAUAAAUUUAAAUUAAUGGUUUUAAGAUUUUUUUUUGAAGAAUAAAAUAAUUUUAAAUAUAAGAUUAUGAUUUCAAUUAGGGAUAAAUUUUAAUUUAAUAUGCAAUUUAAUGCAUAAAUAUUAAUUUGGUGUAACUAUAUAUAUGAAAUUCUUUUAUGUAGAUUCAUAUUUUCAUAUUUAAAGAAAUAAAAAGUAAUAUCAACAUUGCACAAACAAACAAAAUAUUUAAAUAAAGAGAUAACUUUUAUAUUUUUUUAUAAGAUAUAUAUGUUUGAUAUUCAAGACCAACACAUAUUGAACUAGAAAGAGGACAAAAUAUGAUUAUAAAAAACUUAAACUUUUAUUCUAUCUCGAUUGUUUUUCUAUAACUUGAAAUUUUGGUCCAAUCAUACGCAUCCAUGUCGUGGAUAAAAUCAUGAAAAUUUUUAAAGUCAAUUGACAUUUUUGACUUUCUAUUAAAUUAAAAAAUAAAGAUUAAAAAGAAAAAGAAGAAAAAUGGAAUUCACUUAAAAUGGACAUUGGAAGAGAAAAAUGGCUAUUUAUCGAUGUUGACCAUUAAUAUCAAUUACUAACAAUUAAAUGGGAAAUAGAGAUUAGUGAAGAACGAGGGGAGAAAAAAAAGAAAAGAAGAUGGAGACUAAUCAACCAUAACCUCCUUGACCUAAGGUAGAUACAAUGUUGUUCUACCCUAGGUCGGCUAGACUAUGGUUGAUUAGCACAUUUUUUCCUUUUUAUUUGCCUAUUCACCUUCCACUUUCUUUCUCUCUCUUUUUUUAAUAUUCUGAAAUUUUAAUUUUAUAAAAUUUAGAAAAAUAAGA
Molecule: long non-coding RNA, 18573 nt
Filed under: Gossypium raimondii (Peruvian cotton)
Lineage: Eukaryota; Viridiplantae; Streptophyta; Magnoliopsida; Malvales; Malvaceae
Description: long non-coding RNA (GRAI_LNC010110)
Source: RNAcentral